GUGCCAGCCGCCGCGGUAAGACGGAGGGCGCAAGCGUUGUUCGGAAUUACUGGGCGCAAAGCGCACGCAGGCGGUCCCUUAAGUCCUCCGUGAAAUUCCGGGGCUCAACCCCGGCGGUGCGGAGGAAACUGAGAGACUGGAGACCGGUAGAGGCCAGCGGAAUUCCUGGUGUAGCAGUGGAAUGCGUAGAUAUCAGGAGGAACACCGGUGGCGAAGGCGGCUGGCUGGGCCGGUUCUGACGCUCAUGUGCGAAAGCGUGGGGAGCAAACAGGAUUAGAUACCCUGGUAGUCCACGCCGUAAACGAUGGGCACUAGAUGCCGGGCCUUUCGACAGGUUCGGUGUCGUAGCUAACGCGUUAAGUGCCCCGCCUGGGGAGUACGGUCGCAAGGCUGAAACUCAAAUAAAUUGACGG
Molecule: ribosomal RNA, 413 nt
Filed under: uncultured bacterium
Lineage: Bacteria
Description: bacterial SSU rRNA
Rfam family: Bacterial small subunit ribosomal RNA
Source: RNAcentral